GGAGUUCCAUUUUAACCGCUACCUGUGC
RNAcentral lists this non-coding RNA (28 nucleotides) under Homo sapiens (human). The record is from RNAcentral. Lineage: Eukaryota; Metazoa; Chordata; Mammalia; Primates; Hominidae.